This 2324-nucleotide long non-coding RNA is filed under the name Cricetulus griseus (Chinese hamster). RNAcentral's name for it is "lncRNA (ENSCGRG00015034445.1)". Lineage: Eukaryota; Metazoa; Chordata; Mammalia; Rodentia; Cricetidae. The record is from RNAcentral.
CACCACUGUCAGGCCUGACCUCAGGUGUUUUGUUAUAGUCCUUUAAUGCUGACCCACACAGGUAUGUGUGUGUGCUUCUAUGUGCCUCUAUCACGAACGACACUGUGUUUGGGGCCAGGGCGAUGAAUAAAUGCUCGUGUGUGUGCAAACUUGAGGGCCUGGGUUCGCACCCAGAUAAAACCAAGCAAAAUGGUAAAAUAUCCUGGCCUGAGAGACAGCGUACUUAUUUCCUCAGAUGUGAUGGUAUCUGCCCUGUGGCUUUCUGGGUGAAAGGGCAUGCGAGUUUGUGGUUUUGGAGACGUUGCUGAGUUGCUGAUAGGAGCAGCUAGUGUUGACAAAGCAAGCAAGGCCCUGGUUUCUACUCAGGUGCUCAAAGUUGGCACAAAAGGACUUUUCUCAAAUUUUUAAGGUUUCAGAUGCUGAUCUUUCCCCAAAAAGGUACAGGGGUUGAAAGAUACAGGAAAGAGAAAGAGAGGGAGGCAUGGGGAGAAAAGGUGGUGGCAGAAAUGGAGGGGGAAAGAGAAGGAGAAAAGACCAAGAACCUAGGAGUCACCGGUGACUCAUGGCUAUGAUCCUAGCACCCAGGGACUGAGACGGGAGGGGCCUGUGAAGUGGAUUCCAGUAGACUCAUUGCAUCUAGGCCAAACAUUAGAAUAAAAUAGUUCUUUUCCUUCUUUUUUUUUGAAAGUGUGAAGAGACAUUUAUUCAAGACUUCUGUAUUUCUCACAAUGCUUUAAACGUCUAAUAAAAUCCCGUCUAGCUUUCACAUGCUUAAAAUAGCUGUUUUCUAAAAGUACUUAGACCUUGAGGAAAUCAUGGUGGAAAACUGAUUGUUCUCUGUUAUUUAUAGAGUUGUUUUCCUGAAGGAGCUAGACAGCCUUGCCUUGACUUUAGUCACAAAAACGGGCUGGCAAGCCUGGAAUGUCUUGCACUAUUGGGUACUGCAAACAGUGCACAAGGUUUCAGGGGUGGUGGUUUUGGUGUGCGUGACGUUUUCCUUCAGAAAACAUGAAUCAGAUCAGGGCUUUUGUAUGAGGAACUUGUUCCCAAAAAGCAACUUUUGUGCAACAUCAAUACAUGUGCUUCUGCAUGGCUGUUGGAGUUCAUUGAGGCUGACAUCCCAGCUGACUCAGAGCCUGGGUUACGACCUGGAGUGACCCCUUUCUCAGAACACUGACAUGCCUGGACGAUGGUUCCUGCUUCCGGACCAGGUUCCUGCCUUGACUUCCGUUUUCGAUGGAUGGACCAUUACCCAGAAGCCUAAGAUAAAAUACACCUUCUCCGUCCCUUCUCCGUCCCGAGUUGCCUCCGGUCAUUGUGUUUUACCACAAUAGAAACCCGACUUCCACACCUGACUUUAAACCUCCAUUCUUUAUAAGUUAUCCAGUCUCAGGGAGUCUGUGAUAGCAAGAAAAAACAGUCUGACACAGGUUACUAAUGACUGUGCCAGAAAUGCCCUGUUGGGCCCUGCCGGGGGUUGUGAGUCUGAUUUCUGAGAACUGGGCUGCACUCACACUUGACUUGGUUGUGCUCUGUUGAAAUCCCGUGGGGCUUGCUGUUGUCCUGAACCUCAGUGCCUUGAGUUGGCGCAUUCCUGAUGACCAAGCUGCCAUCGGUGCGCUGUAUGUCUUGGCUGGUGUGAGGAUGUCCCAGAAGGCCCUAGGGAGAGAUCGUGGCUGGUGGCUGGGCUCCCGGCUCUCAGAAUCAAGAAGUGCUGAGAACUCCAUCUGGGGACAGGCAGGUGGGUGCCCGCUCCUUCCCUCCUUCUGUCUGCAUCUACUUAAAGGCAAUUGUGCAGGUGCAGGAGGUGAGCAGGCUACCUUCAAGGAGGCAGGAAGGAGGAGGGGACAGCAAGGAACAAGUGGGACCACAAGUGACAUGCUACCUACAAGUGUUACCUGCCCACAAAGGAACCCAAUGGUGCACGGGCUGGAGAAAGUGGUGCUGUUUUGGAGAGGCUAUGGAACCCUAGGACAGACAUUUUAUGUGUAUUUAUUUAUUUUCGGUUUUUCGAGACAGGGUUUCUCUGUGUAACAGCUCUGGCUAUCCUGAAACUCGCUCUGUAGACCAGGCUGGCCUUGAACUCACAGAGAUCCUCCUGUCUCUGCCUCCCGAGUGCUGGGAUUAAAGACAUGUGUCACCACCUCCCAGCUAAGGACAGCGGUCCUAACCCUGUGGGUUGCGACCCUCUGGGAGUCAAAUGACCCUUUCGCAGGGGUCGUGUAUCUGAUAUUUACAUAUUAUGAUUCAUCGCAGUAGCAAAAUUACAGUUAUGAAGCAGCAACGAAAAUAAUUUUGUGCUUGGGGGUCACCACAACACUGGG